This 492-nucleotide ribosomal RNA is filed under the name uncultured bacterium. RNAcentral describes it as "bacterial SSU rRNA". It matches the Rfam family "Bacterial small subunit ribosomal RNA", at positions 28 to 523 of the family's 1533-position model. The record is from RNAcentral.
GAUGAACGCUAGCGGAAGGCUUAAUACAUGCAAGUCGAGCGGUAGGUGGCUUCGGCCAUUGAGAGCGGCGCACGGGUGAGUAACGCGUACAUGACCUGCCUGUCAGAAGGGGAUAGCCCUGGGAAACUGGGAUUAAUACCCUAUGGUAUUGAUAUUAUGAAUGAUAUCAAUUAAAGUUGAGGCGCUGACAGAUGGAUGUGCGUCUGAUUAGCUAGUUGGUAGGGUAACGGCCUACCAAGGCGGCGAUCAGUAGGGGGCGUGAGAGCGUGGUCCCCCACACGGGUACUGAGACACGGACCCGACUCCUACGGGAGGCAGCAGUAAGGAAUAUUGGUCAAUGCCCGCAAGGGUGAACCAGCCAUUCCGCGUGGAGGAUGAAGGCCCUAUGGGUUGUAAACUUCUUUUAGAUGGGAAGAAAAUGCUAGAUGUAUCUGGUACUGACGGUACCAUCAGAAUAAGCACCGGCUAACUCCGUGCCAGCAGCCGCGGUAA